RNAcentral lists this ribosomal RNA (39 nucleotides) under Garcinia gnetoides. RNAcentral describes it as "partial 28S ribosomal RNA". The record is from RNAcentral. Lineage: Eukaryota; Viridiplantae; Streptophyta; Magnoliopsida; Malpighiales; Clusiaceae.
AGAGACCCCAGGUCAGGCGAGACUACCCGCUGAGUUUAA